AUGUUACCUAAGAAGAAGCAAUUGUUGGGUGCUGAAAAAAGGAGGAAAAAGAAAGAAAGUGAUCUGAAAAUUCUACCACUGAAGGGUUCUUUGAAUAAGUUAUUUACAUCUUCAAGCAAUGUUGAUGUCAGUGAAGAACAAGGGCAAGAAACUCCUCCCGAGCAUGAAAAUUCAGAUGUUGAGGUGAAUGAAGAUGGUGCGAGUACAGGGGAGCAAAUAAAUUUUGAAGCUGAUGCUGACAGUACAAUGGAGGAGGAAAAUUUGCAACCUUCCGCUAAUGAUGAACAGGAAGAUUCCCUUUCAUUUAUUUUUUAUCCAAGAACAUGGGAAAUUCUUGACAAUGGCAAAAGGGAUAUUUUAAUUGAGAAGGGACCUAUUAGAGUACCGGGUCUGGAGUUCGAGAAGGACACCAUUGGUAGACACUUUCCAUAUGCUUUUUACUCCAGGAAGUUAAGUAAUGGUGAGUUUGUUGACAGAAAGUGGUUGGUUUACCACAAAGGUGCAAAAAAAGUAUAUUGUUUUUGUUGCAAGUUGUUCAAAUCAAAACUGAGCAAGUCUAUGCUAGCAUCUGAUGGAUUGAAUGACUGGAAGCGUUUGAGUGCGCGUCUCAAAGAUCAUGAGAACAGUGUUGAGCAUUUAACAAACAUGAAUACAUGGAAUGAAGUUAGGUUGAGACUAAGCAAAAAUCAGACAAUUGAUGAUGAUAUGCAAAGGGAGAUUGCAAAGGAGAAGGAGCGUUGGAGACAAGUUUUGGUAAGAAUAGUUUCUGCUGUGAAGUUUCUUGCAAAACACACUUUGGCUUUUCGUGGAUCAAAUGAGAAGUUGUAUCAAGAUAAUAAUGGUAAUUUUCUAGGCACGAUUGAAAUGAUUGCUGAAUUUGAUCCUGUUAUGCAAGAACACAUCCGGCGUAUUCAAAAUAGUGAAAUCCAUCAUCACUAUCUUGGUCAAAAAAUCUAG
Molecule: ribosomal RNA, 957 nt
Filed under: Triticum aestivum (bread wheat)
Lineage: Eukaryota; Viridiplantae; Streptophyta; Magnoliopsida; Poales; Poaceae
Description: partial small subunit ribosomal RNA
Source: RNAcentral